RNAcentral lists this ribosomal RNA (1125 nucleotides) under uncultured bacterium. RNAcentral describes it as "SSU rRNA". It matches the Rfam family "Bacterial small subunit ribosomal RNA", at positions 355 to 1482 of the family's 1533-position model. The record is from RNAcentral.
CUAAGAAUAUUCCGCAAUGGACGAAAGUCUGACGGAGCGACGCCGCGNUGGAUGAUGAAGGCCGAAAGGUUGUAAAAUCCUUUUGCUACUGAAGAAUAAGUGCUGUAGGAAAUGACAGUAUGAUGACGUUAGGUAGUGAAUAAGCCCCGGCUAAUUACGUGCCAGCAGCCGCGGUAACACGUAAGGGGCGGGCGUUGUUCGGAAUUAUUGGGCGUAAAGGGUGCGUAGGCGGGAUGUCUAGUCAGUCGUGAAAUUUUAAGGCUUAACCUUGAGCUUGCGGUUGAAACUGACAUUCUUGAGUAUGGACAAGGUGGGCGGAAUUCGUGGUGUAGCGGUGAAAUGCUUAGAUAUCACGAAGAACUCCGAUUGCGUAGGCAGCUCACCGGGGCAUAACUGACGCUGAUGCACGAAAGUUCGGUUAUCAAACAGGAUUAGAUACCCUGGUAGUCCGUACUGUAAACGAUGAAUACUCGCCGUCUGCGAUACACAGUAGGCGGUCAAGCGAAAGCAUUAAGUAUUCCACCUGGGGAGUACGCCGGCAACGGUGAAACUCAAAGGAAUUGACGGGGGCCCGCACAAGCGGAGGAACAUGUGGUUUAAUUCGAUGAUACGCGAAGAACCUUACCCGGGCUUGAAUUGUACCUGCAUAUAAUUGAAAGGUUAUAGUUGUCAAAGACAGGUAUGAAGGUGCUGCAUGGUUGUCGUCAGCUCGUGCCGUGAGGUGUCGGCUUAAGUGCCAUAACGAGCGCAACCCUGAUGGUCAGUUACCAGCAUGUAAUGGUGGGGACUCUGACCAGACUGCCGUCGUAAGAUGUGAGGAAGGUUGGGAUGACGUCAAAUCAGCACGGCCCUUACGUCCGGGGCUACACACGUGUUACAAUGGAUGGUACAGAGGGUCGCCACGUGGCAACACGGAGCUAAUCCCAAAAUCCAUUCUCAGUUCGGAUCGAAGUCUGCAACCCGACUUCGUGAAGCUGGAUUCGCUAGUAAUCGCACAUCAGCCACGGCGCGGUGAAUACGUUCCCGGGCCUUGUACACACCGCCCGUCAAGCCAUGGGAGUCGGGGGUACCUGAAGCACGUGUCCCUUCAAGGAGCGUUCCAGGGUAAAUCCGGUGACUGGGGCU